GACGAACGCUGGCGGCGUGCUUAACACAUGCAAGUCGAACGGAAAGGCCCCCUUGUGGGGUACUCGAGUGGUGAACGGGUGAGUAACACGUCAGUAACCUACCCUCGACUUUGGGAUAACUUCAGGAAACUGGGGCUAAUACCGGAUAGGAGCUCCUGCUGCAUGGUGGGGGUUGGAAAGUUUCGGCGGUUGGGGAUGGACUCGCGGCUUAUCUGCUUGUUGGUGGGGUAGUGGCUCACCAAGGCCUUGACGGGUAGCCGGCCUGAGAGGGUGAGCGGCCACAUUGGGACUGAGGUACGGCCCAGACUCCUACGGGAGGCAGCAGUGGGGAAUAUUGCACAAUGGGCGGAAGCCUGAUGCAGCAACGCCGCGUGCGGGAUGACGGCCUUCGGGUUGUAAACCGCUUUCGCCUGUGACGAAGCGUGAGUGACGGUAAUGGGUAAAGAAGCACCGGCUAACUACGUG
RNAcentral lists this ribosomal RNA (465 nucleotides) under uncultured bacterium. Its description in RNAcentral is "partial 16S ribosomal RNA". It matches the Rfam family "Bacterial small subunit ribosomal RNA", at positions 28 to 507 of the family's 1533-position model. The record is from RNAcentral.